CGAACGAACGCUGGCGGCAUGCCUAACACAUGCAAGUCGAACGAGACCUUCGGGUCUAGUGGCGCACGGGUGCGUAACGCGUGGGAAUCUGCCCUUGGGUUCGGGAUAACAGUUGGAAACGACUGCUAAUACCGGAUGAUGACUUCGGUCCAAAGAUUUAUCGCCCAGGGAUGAGCCCGCGUAGGAUUAGCUAGUUGGUGAGGUAAAGGCUCACCAAGGCGACGAUCCUUAGCUGGUCUGAGAGGAUGAUCAGCCACACUGGGACUGAGACACGGCCCAGACCUCCGUACGGGAGCAGCAGUAGGGAAUAUGGACAAGUGGGACGAAAGCCUAGACUCCAGACAAGUCGCGCGUGAGUGAUGGAAGUCCGUUAAGGGUUAUAAA
This 384-nucleotide ribosomal RNA is filed under the name uncultured soil bacterium. RNAcentral's name for it is "bacterial SSU rRNA". It matches the Rfam family "Bacterial small subunit ribosomal RNA", at positions 27 to 429 of the family's 1533-position model. The record is from RNAcentral.